Molecule: long non-coding RNA, 711 nt
Organism: Sinocyclocheilus grahami
Lineage: Eukaryota; Metazoa; Chordata; Actinopteri; Cypriniformes; Cyprinidae
Source: Ensembl
GUACUUUAGAGAACUUCCUUUACCUCUUAUUCCCUCUGAGCGAUUCAAGGAGCUUGCAGAUGCACUAGACAUUGCCGAUCCAUAUCUCAGGGCCGACAGCAUGCUGACUCUGUUGCAGGCUCUACCAGAUGUAAACCGCAACACUCUCCUCUUCCUCUUACAUCACCUGAGACGGUACACAACAUCCUUUCAACUCGUAACUGUCAAAACACUGAUUUAGUUUCACCCCAGACUAACCUGAAUCACUUUCAGCACUGAUGGAUGUAAAUUUAAAAAAAGAUGUUUCUCUGUAUAUUUUCUUUUUCCCCUUCUCAUGCACAUCUUUCUCUCUUUUUGUGUUUCUCAGUGUUGCAGAGAGGAAGGGAGAGAAUAAAAUGUCUCUGAGUAAUUUGGCCACAGUGUUUGGCCCCAGCCUUUUGCGCCCUCCAGUGGCUCGUGUCGACAUAUCUCAAGAAGUGGAGGUUCAGGUUCAGGUGAUUUUUCUCUAUCUGCAGUAUCAGAACCUUCCAGAAGCUCUUCUCACAAAACAUCAGGACAUUGAUGAUCUAGAGACAUGAGCCUUCAACAACCAGACUCCUUUUCUGUCUCCGUGUCCAUGGUCAUAUCUGUACAUUUGUAAAAAUUGUUUAACUUGCUUUAUUUUACAGAUGAAUAAAACAAAAUAUUCUAUUUUAAGGUUUUUAUUGUCAUUAAAAAUGACAUGACCACGAG